UACGGGGGGGGUAAGCGUUGUUCGGAAUUACUGGGCGUAAAGGGCGCGUAGGCGGCCUUCUAAGUCAGACGUGAAACCCCCCGGCUUAACCUGGGAACUGCGUCUGAUACUGGGAGGCUUGAGUAUGGGAGAGGGAUGUAGAAUUCCAGGUGUAGCGGUGAAAUGCGUAGAUAUCUGGAGGAAUACCGGUGGCGAAGGCGGCAUCCUGGACCAUUACUGACGCUGAGGCGCGAAAGCUAGGGGAGCAAACGGG
Molecule: ribosomal RNA, 253 nt
Filed under: uncultured bacterium
Lineage: Bacteria
Description: partial 16S ribosomal RNA
Rfam family: Bacterial small subunit ribosomal RNA
Source: RNAcentral